CCCUACUGCUAUCGGGGUGGGACUAAGACAUGCGAGUCGAGCGUCUCCAGCUAUGGUGAGACGCGGCAGACGGCUCAGUAACACGUGGCUAACCUACCCUCAGGACGGGGACAAACCCGGGAAACUGGGGCUAAUACCCGAUAGGCGAGGGCGCCUGGAAUGGUUCUUCACCCAAAGGGCUUUGGAAGCAUGCUUUUCAAAGUCGCCUGGGGAUGGGGCCGCGUCCGAUCAGGUUGUUGGUGAGGUAACGGCUCUCCAAACCUUUGACCGGUACGGGCCAUGAGAGUGGUAGCCCGGAGAUGGGCACUGAGACAAGGGCCCAGGCCCUACGGGGCGCAGCAGGCGCGAAACCUCCACAAUUCACGAAAGUGAGAUGGGGUUACCUCGAGUGCCGCCUGAAGAAGGCGGCUUUUCCAUUGUGUAAUGAGCCGUGGGAAUAAGAGGGGGGCAAGACUGGUGUCAGCCGCCGCGGUAACACCAGCCCCUCGAGUGGUGGGGAUGAUUAUUUGGCCUAAAGCGUCCGUAGCCUGCUCUGUAAAUCCCUCGUUAAAUCCAGCGUCCUAAGCGUUGGGCUGCGAGAGAGACUGCAGAGCUAGAGGGUGGGAGAGGUCAGCGGUAUUCCUGGGGUAGGGGCGAAAUCCAUUGAUCCCAGGAGGACCACCAGUGGCGAAGGCUGCUGACUAGAACACGCCUGACGGUGAGGGACGAAAGCCAGGGGAGCAAAGGGGAUUAGAUACCCCCGUAGUCCUGGCUGUAAACGAUGCCCACUAGACAUUGGCAAUCUCACGGGGGUUGUCAGUGCCGUAGCGAAAGCGUUAAGUGGGCCGCCUGGGGAGUACGGUCGCAAGGCUGAAACUUAA
This 860-nucleotide ribosomal RNA is filed under the name uncultured archaeon. RNAcentral describes it as "bacterial SSU rRNA". It matches the Rfam family "Archaeal small subunit ribosomal RNA", at positions 21 to 859 of the family's 1478-position model. The record is from RNAcentral.